GACGUAGGGGGCGAGCGUUGUCCGGAUUUAUUGGGCGUAAAGCGCGCGUAGGCGGUCCGUUAAGUCGGGUGUGAAAACCCGGGGCUCAACCCCGGGCCUGCAUUCGAUACUGGCGGGCUGGAGGCAGGUAGGGGGAAGCGGAAUUCCCGGUGUAGCGGUGAAAUGCGCAGAUAUCGGGAGGAACACCGGUGGCGAAGGCGGCUUCCUGGGCCUGUCCUGACGCUGAGGCGCGAAAGCUAGGGGAG
Molecule: ribosomal RNA, 245 nt
Filed under: uncultured bacterium
Lineage: Bacteria
Description: partial 16S ribosomal RNA
Rfam family: Bacterial small subunit ribosomal RNA
Source: RNAcentral